RNAcentral lists this long non-coding RNA (603 nucleotides) under Chrysolophus pictus (golden pheasant). RNAcentral's name for it is "lncRNA (ENSCPIG00010009050.1)". The record is from RNAcentral. Lineage: Eukaryota; Metazoa; Chordata; Aves; Galliformes; Phasianidae.
CAUAUCUUUAAUGUUACUUAUAUUUCUGUGAAAAAUAUUUUUAGUACUUACCAGAAUUGUUUGCACUAUAAUGGAUUAUUUUUUUCCAUUUAAAAACACUAAAACACUCUGUUUGUCUCAUUUGCAGUGCAAUUUGGAAAAUGCAGGAAGGAUAUUGCAACGUUCUCACAUAUGUCCCGUACUCAUUUUCCUGCAGAGUAUUGGAAAUCUGUUUCAAAAUCUGUUGCUUUGGCUGACCUUUGGGAAGGCUCCAUUGGUGUGUUCUGUGUACUGUGUUACUAAUCCUGCGGCAACUCUUGAGGCUACAGAUCACUUCAAGCAGCUAACAGGAAAAGUCAAUGAAAAACAGCAAGGUAAACACAUAAUGUGCUAGAAACUCAUAGUGAAACUAAAGGAUGUCUGGCUCGGAACGGUGUAGAAGAGCAAAAGGCAUUGUACUGCAGUAAAACUUAAAGUUUGGGUGAAUUGCAGAGAAUGGGAUUUCCUUCCUUUCCACCAGAGCUCAAGCUCACGCCAUCAUCAUCUCCUCCACCUCCAGACAGACUCCAGCGCUUUAUGAGGUGGUUUGACAUGACAUGGAAGAGGAGCUGAAUUAUUGUUAGC